RNAcentral lists this ribosomal RNA (253 nucleotides) under uncultured bacterium. RNAcentral's name for it is "partial 16S ribosomal RNA". It matches the Rfam family "Bacterial small subunit ribosomal RNA", at positions 524 to 776 of the family's 1533-position model. The record is from RNAcentral.
UACGAAGGGGGCUAGCGUUGCUCGGAAUCACUGGGCGUAAAGCGCACGUAGGCGGAUUCCUAAGUCGGGGGUGAAAUCCUGGAGCUCAACUCCAGAACUGCCUUCGAUACCGGGAAUCUUGAGUCCGGAAGAGGUGAGUGGAACUGCGAGUGUAGAGGUGAAAUUCGUAGAUAUUCGCAAGAACACCAGUGGCGAAGGCGGCUCACUGGUCCGGUACUGACGCUGAGGCGCGAAAGCCAGGGGAGCAAACGGG